GUACCAUGCAGUCGAGCGGAGAUGCGAGAUGUUUACAUUGAGUAUUCUUAGCGGCGGACGGGUGAGUAACACGUGGGUAACCUGCCUCAGAGUGGGGGAUAGCCUUUCGAAAGGAAGAUUAAUACCGCAUAAGCUUGUAGCAUCGCAUGGUGCAGCAGGAAAGGAGCAAUCCGCUCUGAGAUGGACCCGCGGCGCAUUAGCUAGUUGGUGAGGUAACGGCUCACCAAGGCCACGAUGCGUAGCCGACCUGAGAGGGUGAUCGGCCACAUUGGAACUGAGACACGGUCCAGACUCCUACGGGAGGCAGCAGUGGGGAAUAUUGCACAAUGGGCGAAAGCCUGAUGCAGCAACGCCGCGUGAGUGAUGAAGGCUUUCGAGUCGUAAAGCUCUUUGAUCAGGGAUGAUAAUGACAGUACCUGAAAAACAAGCCACGGCUAACUACGUGCCAGCAGCCGCGGUAAUACGUAGGUGGCGAGCGUUGUCCGGAAUUACUGGGGCGUAAGGGAUGCGUAUGUGGAUAUUUAAG
RNAcentral lists this ribosomal RNA (526 nucleotides) under uncultured bacterium. RNAcentral's name for it is "bacterial SSU rRNA". It matches the Rfam family "Bacterial small subunit ribosomal RNA", at positions 49 to 587 of the family's 1533-position model. The record is from RNAcentral.